This 469-nucleotide ribosomal RNA is filed under the name uncultured bacterium. RNAcentral's name for it is "partial 16S ribosomal RNA". It matches the Rfam family "Bacterial small subunit ribosomal RNA", at positions 28 to 507 of the family's 1533-position model. The record is from RNAcentral.
GAUGAACGCUGGCGGCGUGCUUAACACAUGCAAGUCGAACGGUGAACACGGAGCUUGCUCUGUGGGAUCAGUGGCGAACGGGUGAGUAACACGUGAGCAACCUGCCCCUGACUCUGGGAUAAGCGCUGGAAACGGCGUCUAAUACUGGAUAUGUGACGUGACCGCAUGGUCUGCGUUUGGAAAGAUUUUUCGGUUGGGGAUGGGCUCGCGGCCUAUCAGCUUGUUGGUGAGGUAAUGGCUCACCAAGGCGUCGACGGGUAGCCGGCCUGAGAGGGUGACCGGCCACACUGGGAUUGAGACACGGCCCAGACUCCUACGGGAGGCAGCAGUGGGGAAUAUUGCACAAUGGGCGAAAGCCUUAUGCAGCAACGCCGCGUGAGGGAUGACGGCCUUCGGGUUGUAAACCUUUUUUAGCAGGGAAGAAGCGAAAGUGACGGUACCUGCAGAAAAAGCGCCGGCUAACUACGUG